GACGAACCGUACAAACGUUAUUCGGAAUCACUGGGCUUAAAGGGUGCGUAGGCGGCGUAGAAAGUAGGGUGUGAAAUCCCUCGGCUCAACCGAGGAACUGCGCCCUAAACUACUAUGCUCGAGGGAGGUAGAGGUGAGCGGAACUUAGGGUGGAGCGGUGAAAUGCGUUGAUAUCCUAAGGAACACCGGUGGCGAAAGCGGCUCACUGGACCUCUUCUGACGCUGAGGCACGAAAGCUAGGGGAGCAAACGGG
Molecule: ribosomal RNA, 253 nt
Filed under: uncultured bacterium
Lineage: Bacteria
Description: partial 16S ribosomal RNA
Rfam family: Bacterial small subunit ribosomal RNA
Source: RNAcentral